GGAGUUGUGGCUCAGUGGUAGAGUGCUCGCCUAGCAUGUGUGAGGCCCUGGGUUUGAUCCUCAGCACCA
RNAcentral lists this transfer RNA (69 nucleotides) under Urocitellus parryii (Arctic ground squirrel). Its description in RNAcentral is "Spermophilus parryii (Arctic ground squirrel) tRNA". It matches the Rfam family "tRNA". Rfam says of the family: Transfer RNA (tRNA) molecules are approximately 80 nucleotides in length. Their secondary structure includes four short double-helical elements and three loops (D, anti-codon, and T loops). The record is from Rfam by way of RNAcentral. RNAcentral also lists the same sequence under 2 other names. Lineage: Eukaryota; Metazoa; Chordata; Mammalia; Rodentia; Sciuridae.